GGUAUCAGAAGUGCGAAUGCUGACAUAAGUAACGAUAAAGCGGGUGAAAAGCCCGCUCGCCGGAAGACCAAGGGUUCCUGUCCAACGUUAAUCGGGGCAGGGUGAGUCGACCCCUAAGGCGAGGCCGAAAGGCGUAGUCGAUGGGAAACGGGUUAAUAUUCCCGUACUUGGUGUUACUGCGAAGGGGGGACGGAGAAGGCUAUGUUGGCCGGGCGACGGUUGUCCCGGUUUAAGCGUGUAGGUGUGUGUUCCAGGUAAAUCCGGUUCACUUUAACACUGAGGCGUGACGACGAGGCACUACGGUGCUGAAGCAACAAAUGCCCUGCUUCCAGGAAAAGCCUCUAAGCAUCAGGUAACAUCAAAUCGUACCCCAAACCGACACAGGUGGUCAGGUAGAGAAUACCAAGGCGCUUGAGAGAACUCGGGUGAAGGAACUAGGCAAAAUGGUGCCGUAACUUCGGGAGAAGGCACGCUGACAUGUAGGUGAAGUGAUUUACUCAUGGAGCUGAAGUCAGUCGAAGAUACCAGCUGGCUGCAACUGUUUAUUAAAAACACAGCACUGUGCAAACACGAAAGUGGACGUAUACGGUGUGACGCCUGCCCGGUGCCGGAAGGUUAAUUGAUGGGGUCAGCGCAAGCGAAGCUCCUGAUCGAAGCCCCGGUAAACGGCGGCCGUAACUAUAACGGUCCUAAGGUAGCGAAAUUCCUUGUCGGGUAAGUUCCGACCUGCACGAAUGGCGUAAUGAUGGCCAGGCUGUCUCCACCCGAGACUCAGUGAAAUUGAACUCGCUGUGAAGAUGCAGUGUACCCGCGGCAAGACGGAAAGACCCCGUGAACCUUUACUAUAGCUUGACACUGAACAUUGAGCCUUGAUGUGUAGGAUAGGUGGGAGGCUUUGAAGUGUGGACGCCAGUCUGCAUGGAGCCGACCUUGAAAUACCACCCUUUAAUGUUUGAUGUUCUAACGUGGACCCGUUAUCCGGGUUGCGGACAGUGUCUGGUGGGUAGUUUGACUGGGGCGGUCUCCUCCUAAAGAGUAACGGAGGAGCACGAAGGUUGGCUAAUCCUGGUCGGACAUCAGGAGGUUAGUGCAAUGGCAUAAGCCAGCUUGACUGCGAGCGUGACGGCGCGAGCAGGUGCGAAAGCAGGUCAUAGUGAUCCGGUGGUUCUGAAUGGAAGGGCCAUCGCUCAACGGAUAAAAGGUACUCCGGGGAUAACAGGCUGAUACCGCCCAAGAGUUCAUAUCGACGGCGGUGUUUGGCACCUCGAUGUCGGCUCAUCACAUCCUGGGGCUGAAGUAGGUCCCAAGGGUAUGGCUGUUCGCCAUUUAAAGUGGUACGCGAGCUGGGUUUAGAACGUCGUGAGACAGUUCGGUCCCUAUCUGCCGUGGGCGCUGGAGAACUGAGGGGGGCUGCUCCUAGUACGAGAGGACCGGAGUGGACGCAUCACUGGUGUUCGGGUUGUCAUGCCAAUGGCACUGCCCGGUAGCUAAAUGCGGAAGAGAUAAGUGCUGAAAGCAUCUAAGCACGAAACUUGCCCCGAGAUGAGUUCU
RNAcentral lists this ribosomal RNA (1551 nucleotides) under Salmonella enterica. Its description in RNAcentral is "bacterial LSU rRNA". It matches the Rfam family "Bacterial large subunit ribosomal RNA", at positions 1278 to 2812 of the family's 2925-position model. The record is from RNAcentral. Lineage: Bacteria; Pseudomonadati; Pseudomonadota; Gammaproteobacteria; Enterobacterales; Enterobacteriaceae.